UACAGAGGUCCCAAGCGUUGUUCGGAUUCACUGGGCGUAAAGGGUGCGUAGGUGGCCGGUUAAGUCUGACGUGAAAGCUCGGAGCUCAACUCCGAAAUGGCAUUGGAAACUACCUUGCUCGAGGGUUGGAGGGGGGACUGGAAUUCUCGGUGUAGCAGUGAAAUGCGUAGAUAUCGAGAGGAACACCAGUGGCGAAGGCGACUCUUUGGUCUGUAACUGACGCUGAGGCGCGAAAGCGUGGGGAGCAAACAGG
RNAcentral lists this ribosomal RNA (253 nucleotides) under uncultured bacterium. RNAcentral's name for it is "partial 16S ribosomal RNA". It matches the Rfam family "Bacterial small subunit ribosomal RNA", at positions 524 to 776 of the family's 1533-position model. The record is from RNAcentral.